UUAACCUACGGGGCGCAGCAGUGGGGAAUAUUGGACAAUGGGGGGAACCCUGAUCCAGCGACGCCGCGUGAGUGAAGAAGUAUUUCGGUAUGUAAAGCUCUAUCAGCAGGGAAGAAAAUGACGGUACCUGACCAAGAAGCCCCGGCUAACUACGUGCCAGCAGCCGCGGUAAUACGUAGGGGGCAAGCGUUAUCCGGAUUUACUGGGUGUAAAGGGAGCGUAGGCGGCUGUGUAAGCCAGAAGUGAAAGCCCGAGGCUCAACCACGGGACUGCUUUUGGAACUACAUGGCUUGAUUGCAGGAGAG
Molecule: ribosomal RNA, 305 nt
Filed under: uncultured bacterium
Lineage: Bacteria
Description: bacterial SSU rRNA
Rfam family: Bacterial small subunit ribosomal RNA
Source: RNAcentral